RNAcentral lists this transfer RNA (93 nucleotides) under Wolbachia pipientis. RNAcentral's name for it is "tRNA-Ser". It matches the Rfam family "tRNA". Rfam says of the family: Transfer RNA (tRNA) molecules are approximately 80 nucleotides in length. RNAcentral also lists the same sequence under 2 other names. The record is from RNAcentral. Lineage: Bacteria; Pseudomonadati; Pseudomonadota; Alphaproteobacteria; Rickettsiales; Anaplasmataceae.
UGGAAGGGUGGCCGAGCGGCUGAAGGCGGCGGUUUGCUAAACCGUUAUACGAUUGAAAAGUCGUAUCGAGGGUUCGAAUCCCUCUCCUUCCGU